CAAACUAAAGAUGGCGACCGGCGCACGGGUGAGUAACACGUAUCCAACCUGCCGAUAACUCGGGGAUAGCCUUUCGAAAGAAAGAUUAAUAUCCGAUAGUAUAUUUUCUCCGCAUGGCGAGAAUAUUAAAGAAUUUCGGUUAUCGAUGGGGAUGCGUUCCAUUAGUUUGUUGGCGGGGUAACGGCCCACCAAGACUACGAUGGAUAGGGGUUCUGAGAGGAAGGUCCCCCACAUUGGAACUGAGGCACGGUCCAA
RNAcentral lists this ribosomal RNA (255 nucleotides) under uncultured bacterium. RNAcentral describes it as "partial 16S ribosomal RNA". It matches the Rfam family "Bacterial small subunit ribosomal RNA", at positions 74 to 334 of the family's 1533-position model. The record is from RNAcentral.